This 253-nucleotide ribosomal RNA is filed under the name uncultured bacterium. RNAcentral describes it as "partial 16S ribosomal RNA". It matches the Rfam family "Bacterial small subunit ribosomal RNA", at positions 524 to 776 of the family's 1533-position model. The record is from RNAcentral.
GACAGAGGCCCCGAGCGUUAGUCGGAAUUACUGGGCUUAAAGGGUGCGUAGGCGGGCGCGUAAGUGUUCUGUGAAAUCCCCGGGCUCAACCCGGGAACCGCAGGGCAUACUGCGCGUCUCGAGGAAGCUAGAGGCCGGUGGAACGAUCGGUGGAGCGGUGGAAUGCGUAGAGAUCGAUCGGAACGCCAAGGGUGAAAACAGGUAGCUGGGGCUGUGCUGACACUGAGACACGAAAGCCAGGGGAGCAAACGGG